AUCUGAUGGUGGGGACAACUAGUUCAUAAUCACCUUAAUCUUUCCCAAUAUUCAUAUAAAGACUCCCCAGUUUGUUGGCAAAUGCCACAGAUUUCCUUCCUGAUGUU
Molecule: small nucleolar RNA, 107 nt
Organism: Humulus lupulus (European hop)
Lineage: Eukaryota; Viridiplantae; Streptophyta; Magnoliopsida; Rosales; Cannabaceae
Source: RefSeq, a predicted model, not a curated record